AGACCUGUCCAGCGAGUCCCCUGACUGUAGAAGUACAGUCUGUUUAGCGUGUGAUUUUUCAAGUCUGCAGAUUUCAUCCAAGCUGUGAAAACGAAAAGAUUAUUGUGAAACCGAAUGAUAAUACACGUGAAAACCAGCAUUGAAGUGUAUCACAAUACCAUACGUAUCACAAUCCUAUAAUGAAGUCCCACAAACAUUUGCAAUGUGAAAAAUUGCUCGGAUUGGCCGAGAGAAACAGCGUGGAAACAAGAACUCCGGGUGCCAUCAAGGACCUAACGAAGCAUGCAAAGGAAUACACUCAGUUUGCAAUGAUUCACAACCAUGCAACUAUUACCAGGCUGAAAAUUACCAAUAAAAUAUAUUCUGGAGCGUCAAAUUGCAAGAUGUUCUGAAGUCGAAAUUUGAUCUGAGUUACAUUCACGACUAUAUACAAAAAACAAAUGCUAUAGUGGGCGAAAGCACUCUCAAAGGAACUCCCUUGAAUUUUCCCUCAGGCUAUAAAGAAUCGAGUACAAUUCUGCUCAAACUCGUUACGAGUGUUGGAGUGAUUCCUCUCCACCCACCCACACAUUUUGCAUCAGGAAAGUAACGUGACUUCCGUCAACGCGUGAUCAAUUAUGACAAUUUGCCAAUAACAUAAUUGUUGCCUCGAAGCAUGCAAGCGGCGAAUCUAGGCGCUUCGAUUGAUCAGUUACCAUGCAAACAAGAAGUGAGUCUGAAUACAUCUGAUGCA
This is a long non-coding RNA of Halichondria panicea, 733 nucleotides long. RefSeq lists it as uncharacterized. Lineage: Eukaryota; Metazoa; Porifera; Demospongiae; Suberitida; Halichondriidae. The transcript has 3 exons. The record is from RefSeq and is a predicted model, not a curated record.